GAGCUCCUUUUUGGGUUCUGGCAAUUCAGUCUUGGUGGAGAAGUAAGUUACCUUUGACUUUGACUUAUUAUCAUGAUUUUAUGUUCAUAUAAUGAUUUUCCGCAUCCUCACCAUUUUUCCCAUAUUUAUCAAUGGGAUUAUAUAAAUCCAGAAUUUGCAACAGAUCUCAAAACUCGUGGGAUAAACACAUAGAGCUGGAGGCAACCUUUGACAGUUUUCAUUCUCAAGCUAGAUUGGGUUAGUUUCAUGGUAGAGCUAUUGGAGUUGAUAUUUGUUAAGCUUUGGCCUGCAUUGCAACAAAAGACCAGCAGUAAAAAUUCAGCUCUGUCAAGCAGCAGCAUGUUCUGAAGUGAAGAAAUGAAGCUGGUCCGAAUGCAGCAACUUAUUUUGAGUGUUUUGUUCCUAUGUAACUUUGUCUAGUUCUUUUGUAAUUUGACAGCAAAGUUAGUAGGAUGAUUUGAUUGAUUUGUGUUGAUGUAAUAGCUAGUAUGUUAGCUUCUUUUAUGUACAAGUUAAGCAUGUUUUUGUUUAUGUAUUAAGUGGGAGCAGUUAACUAUUUGGUAAA
RNAcentral lists this long non-coding RNA (565 nucleotides) under Gossypium barbadense (sea-island cotton). RNAcentral describes it as "long non-coding RNA (GBAR_LNC022935)". The record is from RNAcentral. Lineage: Eukaryota; Viridiplantae; Streptophyta; Magnoliopsida; Malvales; Malvaceae.